CACAAGUGACAAACUGAAAUGAGAGUCAUUUCUUCAUUUUAAUGGUAAAUACUUAAGGUUCGUGAGACUUCAGUGCGUUUGCUCACCGGUUGUUCCACGUGUUCGCCAAAUAGCAAGAAGCAGCUCAAAGACGACACACAAAUGAAUUUAUGGAUUGAGGAAGCCAUGCGUGGACAGCCAGACGGACGGACAGACAGACAAAUCAAUACUUGGGAAAACAAGAAAGCCAGAAAAGGUGGAGUACUGCCAUCCGCCUACCAGAUUGCCCUUCUCCAGUUUCAGAUAAACCUUGUCUUCUUUGUUGAGGUGCAGCAGGACUCCG
Long non-coding RNA from Labeo rohita (rohu), 322 nucleotides. RefSeq lists it as uncharacterized. The transcript has 3 exons. The record is from RefSeq and is a predicted model, not a curated record. Lineage: Eukaryota; Metazoa; Chordata; Actinopteri; Cypriniformes; Cyprinidae.